CGCUACCGCUUUCAGCUCCACGUGAGGCCAUGGAGGAUUGCACCAUUGAUGGCUUCCACAUCCCAGCAGGCACACGGCUUAUAGUUAACUUGUGGAAGAUGCAUCGUGAUCCCAGCAUUUGGGCAAACCCGUCAGAAUUUAUACCUGAUAGAUUCCUAAAUGAAAAUGCCAAGUUGGAUGUUAAUGGUCAGGAUUUUGAAUUUUUACCAUUUGGCUCUGGUAGAAGGAAGUGUCCAGGGAUCUCAUUCGCUCUUCAGGUUCAGCACUUGACAUUGGCACGCCUGCUCCAUGCAUUCAGCUUAGGGACGGUCUCAGACACAUUAGUUGAUAUGAGUGGAAGCCCUGGGAUCACUGUCCCUAAAGCAACACCAUUGGAGGUUACCCUUACCCCACGGGUGCCUUCCAAUGUUAUUUGAGUACUUAAAAGCAAGAAGAUAAUAGUUUGUCUCUAAAUGCUCUCUGGUACUCACUCUAGUAACAGUGUCAGGUCUGUGAACUGCUUUCAGUUACUAUUAUAUUGAUAACUAAACUCUUGCCCAUAAAAGCCGACCUCUUAUAGAUAACUGAUUAUGUAUCAUUAACGAAUAAAGCAAGAUGAAUAAUUACUGUACUAAUCACCAACAUUGGAAUAAUUCUGUGGGCACAAGCAGAAAAUGUCAUUUACAAAGAAUGGAAUGACUUUUUUUUAUUUAAUUUCUCUCAUUUAUUCAGGAGAAAGAUAACGUUGUGACUAUGUGACAUAACCCACAAAAUUGCAGCAACUAUAAUAUUUGCUUUCGGAGAUAAAAUUUUUUGCACCUGGCCUAUCAUUUUGCUGCAGCCUGCGGCAAGUAAUCAAAGAUGUGGAAGAAGUUGAGAAUCAUCUUUUAGCCAUGUAUUUCAACAUAGAAGUUCCGUGAAGAAAUUGUUGUAAAGGCUUGUUGUUCAUCUGCAUCGUCUUGGGGUUGAAAAAUCUGCAAUAUAUAGCUAGUAGAAUAAGACAAGAACUUGCAUUAACAUACCAUCUUUCUACUAAAACGUGGUCCUAAUUUUCCUAAUAGGGUUACGUCACAACUUGCACAAGUGGUGUUCUUUUGUGCAAAAAAACCCAUGCCUUAUUUAGCACAGGAAUAAUAUUCCUGUGCUCUAAUACAAAAGAGUGGAGAAUGCACAGAAAAUUAAAUUGGAUCAAAUGAUCCACAAGAUUGGUAAGUAAGGUCAAUUUAUAACUACUUUUCUAAUUUGAAUUAUUCAUAUUCAGGACCUAGGUUGGAAAGCAACUUGAUCUUCAAUUCUUUGGGGUUCUUGUUUUCUUUCAUGUUCUAGAUAAAAUUGUGGAGAUAGAUGUGGCAGCUCAAGGUGAUUGGUGUAUGAGAUGAAAGAAAUAUAUGCUAUACGAAGAAUUAUAGGCAUGACACCUGUUUGAGGAAUAAGUGACAGAGCACAAUUGCGUGCGUCUUUGCAUGAAUCAUAGGAUAGCUAAAGGCCUCCUCAAGAUAUGUUGGAUGGAUCUCGCAAGUGACUUCCUCGAGUUAAUUAGUUGAAGCGAGCAUGUUUCGUUACAAGUUUGCUUGUGCAAGUCAUCUGAGACGAGGCUUAGACCAAGUCAACCUAAAGACUCGGUCAAAAAUCAACUCGCUGAUCUCCUCUGAGAUCAUGACGCGAACUUAAUCCACUAAUGACUAUUCCUUCAAUCCAAGGUCGUGGGUUUCGGAUCUUUAUAAAAACCCCUGAAAAUUCAAACUAGACAAGUAUUUCUUUAUCUCUUUCCACCAUUGAAGACACACACUCUCUCUAAGAUUUUUCUAGCUUUCUUGAGAUUUUUAACAAAGCUUUUUUAUUCAGAAGCAAUACUUGAGUUGAGGGACAAGUUUUUCCAAAAUCCCAAAUACCUAACUUGAGCUCAAAGAGUUCACGCCGGAGAAACCUUUAACAUCCCUCUAAUCUUUUCUAUGAAUGUAGGUGAUGUUGCAAGAAAGUGCCUGUUGUCAUGGCCCAAGCCUCCAAGUAACAUGGCCUAGCCCAUGGAUGAUUCUAGACUCAUGUAGUGUGUAGAUAUUUCUCAUGUACUUAUUAUGGGUAGGUGGUAGAUAGUAGUUGAGCAUUAAUCCACUCUCUUGUACUCUAUAUAUAAGAGGGGGCUUCAUUUGGCCAAUACACACAACACAUAACAAGCAACACAAUACCAAGCAUUGUAAGCAUUUCAUCAAGCAAUACAAGUCCUUUUCUCCAUCUUGUGUGAGUUUGAGUGAAUACACUUUCCAGUUUUCGAAUCCAGCAGCAGAUUUGAAUGUAAGGCUGACUUAGGGACAAGAGAGUGUGAAUUUAGCACCUAAGGCCGCACGGCACAACGUGGGAUAUAACCGGGUCGUGAUGGUAUCAAAGCUGUCAACACUCGUGGGAUAAUUGCGUUGUUCGAAAAGAAUGAUGUCGAAACUCACUCAUGAUGACCAAAGGGUGAGGGAGCCUAACCCCAAUGGGAAAAAAAAGGGAAAAACAACAAGGAGAAGUUCAUGGACUUGCUCAACGCCAUGGAGAAUCGGGUUGUUCGUGGGGAGGUUGUCGUCACUGAGAUUAAGGAACACCUCGAGAUCUUUGAGCAGAAAUGGAUGAAUUUGGGGAAUGGAUGGGCAACCUGAGCCAAGAUGUGGUGGCGCAAUGCCAAGGUGAGCAGGAGAAUGUGAACAUUGCGAAGGGGUAUCUUGAGGACCACGUGAUUGCUUGAUGGCAGCGGAAGCAUGCAGAGAUUGUGCGCGGGACGUGCAUCAUCAACACAUGGGACUUGCUGAAGUGCGAGCUCAAGAAGUAAUUCUAUCCGGGGAAUGUGACGUGUGAGGCUCGCAAAAAGAUGCGAGAGUUGAAGCAUAGGAUGUCCAUCUCGAAGUAUGUCGAUGAUUUCUCUAAGCUCAUACUCCAAAUUGACAACAUGAACACAUAUGACUUGUUGUUCAAUUUAAUGGGGGGACUCCAACUGUGGGCACAAUAUAAGUUACACCGGCGCCAAGUGAAUGACAUCUCUAUAGCCCUCAUUGAGGCGGACACACUUGUGGAGUUUCGAAAAGGUGAGUUGUCCAAACCGAAGAAGGAUAAUAAACCCCAACAUGGCAAAUGUGGGGAAGCAAAGGGAGAUAAGUUGCAGCACCACGAUGGCAAUGAUAAUCCAUAAAAGAAGGAUGGCUUGAGGGAUGGCCUGAAAGAUGGCAAGAAUGAUGCCAAAUGCAAACACAAUAAGGCUUUCAACACCAUGUUUAGCAAGACUAGGGAAAAGCAACCAGAGGCACCACUAGUCGAUGCUGCAAACAUAGACUGUCUUCAACUCUUCAAUACGUUGAAUACCAAGCCAAUUCUAGCAAAGGUGCAGGACAAGUCGUUCAUGCACAUCGAGGCCACAAUCAAUGGGAAAUGAGCUCAUGUCUUGAUUAACACGGGGAGUGUCCCACAACUUCAUCAAGGUGGAUAAGGCCAAGCGACUUGGACUCAAGGUCGAGAAAACGGAUGGCUGGCUGAAGACAGUGAAUUCGGAGGCCAAACCACUCUGCGAGGUAGCACAUGAUGUGGAGCUACACCUAGGCCCUUGGCGAGGUAAGACUCACUUUUCCGUUGUACCUUUGGAUGACUUUACGCUUGUUUUGGGCAUGAAAUUUUUAAGACAAUUCAAUGCGGUGCCAUUUCUGAGGUACAACUCAAUGUUCAUCCCAGAGGGAGCCCUAUGCUUAGUCCCGAAAGUGAGCACGGCCAUACCACCAGGCCAACUUUUCGCAAUGCAAAUCAACAAGGGUUGCAAGCAGCAUGAUGGGAAGGACGUUAUGGCCAUGGAGCCCAUACCAGAGGCAAUAUCCCAAGUCCUUGAGGAGUAUAAAGAUGUGAUGUCACCCGAGUUGCCAAAACAGUUGUCGCCAUGAUGGAGGUAGACCAUAAGAUUGAGUUGGAGUUGAGUGCCAAAUCGUUUAUGAAAGCACUAUACUUCAUGUCUCUAUAAGAGUUAGAGGAGUUGUGGAGGCAAAUCAAAGAGCAGCUGGAUGCAGGAUAUAUCCAACCUUCGAAGGCAACAUAUGGGGCACCGGUGCUGUUCCAACGGAAGCAUGAUGUCUCACUUCGACUGUGUAUCGACUACCGAGCCCUCAAAAAGCUGAUUGUGAAGAACAAGUAUCUCAUCCCACUAAUUGCGGACUUGUUCGACCAACUUGGAUGGUUCAAGUACUUCUCUAAGCUUGACCUUAGGUUGGGAUACUACAAAGUACGGAUUGCGAAGGACGAUGAGCCAAAGACAACUUAUGUAGCGAGAGCCGAGAUAUGAGGCGUACGAGUUCAAAGUCAUGCCUUUUGGCCUCACCACCACUCUGACCAUAUUUUACACGCUCAUGAACCGCAUAUUCCAGCCAUACCUUGAUCAAUUUGUGGUGGUAUAUCUCAAUGACAUUGUGGUAUAUAGUAACAAUGUGGCGGAGCAUGCUAAGCACUUGUGGGUUGUGUUCGGGGUGUUGCGGGACAAUGAGUUGUAUGUGAAGCGGGAGAAGUGCCCAUUUGCUAAACCAGAGGUUGAUUUUCUUGGCCACAAAAUUAGAGAUAGGACGUUGCUCAUGGACAAGGCCAACAUCCAAGCCAUUGCCGAGUGGGAGCCACACACGAAGGUUACGGAGUUGCGCUCUUUCUUAAGGCUCGCCAACUACUAUCAGAGGUUCAUAAAGAAUUAUUCCGCUAUUGUCGCACGACUCACUAACUUGCUUAAGAAAACCACCAAGUGGGAAUGGACGGAUAUAAGCCAACAAGCUUUCGAUGCUCUCAAGAAGGUUGUGACGGAAAAGCUGGUUGACACGACUUAAAAGUGUUUGAUUUACUCUCAAGUAUUAGAAAAGAUUUAAUUUAUUUAUUUUAUUUUAUCUAAAAUUUGAAAAUAAAACUUAAAUAUAAACAAUUUAAUUCAAAUAAAACUAUGAAAUUGAAUUAGUUAGGGUUGUGGAUUCACUCUUAGUAGUAAAUAAAACUUAAUAAAUUCUUUUUGUCAUUUUUUUAGAUUUAUUGCCCAAAAGAUUAAUUAUAUAAAUUAUUAUUAUUUUUCCUUUAAUUUUAUGAUGGAUUAAGUAUUCAUUGUGCCAAAAUUUAAUUUGUCUACAAUAAGUCAAAAUACCAUUUUACCAUACCUUAUAUUAAGAUAAAAAGAAUUUAUUGUGUCAAACUCCCUUCUUUGUCUACAAUAAAUCAAAAUUUCAUAAUAUAAAAUAUGUAUAAAAUUAAAUAGAAAAUAAUUUAAUUUAUAAAAAUAAAAAUAAAAUUUGAUUAAAUCAUAUUUAUUUCCUAAGAGUUUCACCUUCCCCUAACUAUUAAUAUUUAGCUAAACAUUUUUUUAAUAAAGGAAAUUACUAAAAUUGAAAAACACAUAAUUAAAAAUGGAAUUUGAAAAUUGAAAUAAAACUAAUUUUUUUGAUUGAAAAUAAAUUACAAAGAGAGAUGAGAAGAAGAAUUUGAGGGGAAAGAAGAGAAGAGAAGGUGUAGAGAGGUGUGUUCAUCCCUCUCUAUUUAUACUAAUACAUGGUAAAUCCAUACCACACAAAUAAAAAAAUCUAAUUACAUCUUAACUUUACAUUUGUCUCACUAAUAAUCCCACUAAUAAAACAUAAACCUAACUUAUCCACUCAAACAUAUCCAACACAUUCCACUAACAAUUACCAUACCUAAUAUGAUAAAAACUUAUAAUUUUACAAUUACCACAUUUACCGUGGUAAAAAUGUAAAAAAUUAGAACUAAAGUCUUGGAUCCUCCUCGACAAUGACAUAAUUUCUCGGACUUCCGGAAUCCAAAUUUGACAUCAAUGCAUUUGUUCGGAGUCUCAAAUUGCAUGAAAUUAUUAUUUUUAUCUACUAAACACACAAAAAUACACAAAAUCAAAUAUUUAGAAAAAUAAUUAGAAAUUCACAAUAUGUUACACAAUUACAAAUAUAAAUUACAUUAAUAAAACAAAAUAACAUUUUUAUCCCUUAAUAAACAUAUAAUUUUUAACACUAAUCACACCCUCCAACUAGCUUAUUGCUAGCCCCUAGCAAUUAAAGCGUUAUAUUAAAUUAAGAUUUACAAAAUUCACAUGCAAGUUAAUAGUUGUUCAUCUAUCCUCUAAACUAUCAAAUAAAUAAACUCUCCAAAUUUUUUUUUUUAAACUCUUGGUCAUCCACUCAUUAUCCAGAAUAUCAUAAACCUUUUUUUGUGCUCAAGUAAUUAACACAAUACUUAUGAUAUUUUAUUAAAAGAAAACAACAUUUUGUUCUAAAACUCAUUAGAAAUUCUAUCUUCAGGCAGUGGAUUAUUCAAGAUUUUUUUUUCUUACAAAAAUAUUGCAUUUUUAACCUAUGUAGCGAGCUUUAGGUCAGUGACUCCCAAACCAGUUGACCUUAGGGCAUUAGGUGUUGAAACACCCCUACGGACUUAAUUACUCAUAUUUUUAAUAAAUAAGCAAACAAUAUAUCUAUAACCCAUGUAGCGAGCUUUAGGCUAGUGACUCCCAGACCAGUUGACCUUAGGGCACUAGGUGUUGAAACACCCCUACGGACUUAAUUACUUGGGUUCUAGAUAUAACAAAAUUAAACUCAUUCAAUUUUUUUCUUUUUUUUUCUUUUUUUUUAAGUAUACACUUUCUAUCACCUUAGAUAUUAUUCCUAAUAAAUCAAAAGAACUAAAUGCUGUAAAAAUUUUAACUUACAACCCACUAGUAUGUGUUAUAGUGUGUGUGUGAAGAAUGAUUUAAUAAUACCUGUUAAAUGAGUAAACAACGAAAUAACUUUAUAACCAAAUGUAGGAGAGUUCACAAAUUUGAGUAAUUCAAAGAAAAAGGAACAAAAACAACUUAUUAUGAAUUUUAAAAUCAAAAUAUAAUACAACAAGACUAUUAGGAUACGUCUCAAAAGUUAUGACUCUUUACACAACAAUCCUAGACACAAAAAAAAAAAAAAUUGUUGUUUUUGGUUUUUUUUUGGGUUUUUAAAAAAAAAUUAAACACACAUAUUUACAAUUUACAUCAAUUAUCCCUUCCCCCCAACCUAAUUUAAACAUUAUAUACAUGCAGAAAGAUGAAAAAGAUAAAGAAAACAUAAAUAAUAAAAGAAGAAAUAGGAACGAUCACACCUGAACAACCCGCUGAAGAUGCGUUUCUAUAGUCCCUACACCCUAUAUUCUACCAUCUUCGACAAAAGCAUUACUAGGAUUUGCUGUAUUCCACAUUUGUCAACUAUUCCCACCCCCCAACCUGAACAAGACAUUGUCCUCAAUGGCUUAAAGGAAAGAAAUAGAGUUUAGAAGACACAACCUCAUAGCUCCAAGAAGAUAGUUACAACCGAAGAGUUAAAUCCAAUUUGUACUUCUUACUAGGGCUAGGGUUACCAUCAUUAGUCAACCAUUCCAAGGCCAAGGUUUUAGGAUCUGGCUAUGGUUUGUAAGUUUGUAAAAGAUCAAGUAACUCAUUAGUAGUAGAAGCACAAACAAAGAGAUUUUUCAUAGAGAUUGGAAUAAAAUGAUUCUUAAUUGCAUGGUUAAUGAAUGUGAGCAACCCAUCAAAAAAAUUAUUAACAUUUAGUAAACCAAUGGAUUUUUUAUGGAUGUUUAAAUGGGCUCAGGAUGCAAAUGUAAUCAAUACCUCUAAAGUUGCAAGAUCUCCUGGCAAGAAAAUGAAAGCGUCAGCAUGAUUUAACAUCUCAGAUAUUCGCUCUUGCAUACUUGAGACAACUAACUCUUCUCCAAUUGGCACAUCAGACACGCAUCCUAGAGGUUUUAAGACUUUUGGAAUGAUACUUAGUACAUGGUUUCCUCUAAUAAAAACAGCUUCUGAGAUAGGCUUUGAUAACUUGCGGUCACCUCUCAGCUAUGGCACGACCAAGAUCUACAGCUGCUUGAACGAACUCUUUGUAUUUUCCAUAAUGAAAUCCAGAGAGGACACAAAUGUUUUUGAAUUGUCUACUCGAAGAUGCUACCAUUAGAAUAAUCUUCAAAAACAAGUUGUGAGUGGUUUGGAAAAAGAGCUCUUAUUUAAAGAUCCGAGUGACAAAAAAAAUGAGAAACAUCUGUAAAUGGGUUGGUGUAUUUUUCAGAUGACGCGUAAAGCUCAUGUCUCAAUUAUUCAAAAGAAAAUAGUAAAAAGAAAAGCAAACAGUGAAAAGAAAAAGUAAAAGAAAACAAAUAAUGAUUAAAUACAAAAUCACACCAUUAAAUGCAAUAAUGCAAAUGAUAAAAGAGUAAUAAAGUAAAAUGAUAUUUACUGGUAAUUGUGAUUGUGGCUCACAUCUUCCUCUGGUUUUACAUCCAGUAACGGCUUGAACGCCCUCUAUAGGUCGAGGAUAGGCUUCCCAUCCAGUUUUCUUAUAAACUGGCAAACAAGGUCUUUUUAAGUCAGAUUCCCAAGACUAAACUGUGCACUUUCGUUUUGGAACAGUCUUCAUAACUUGUGUAUCUCAUAUUGCACAUGUCCGCUUCGAUUCGUCUCAAGAGAUCGUAAGAUAUCAUCCAACGAUUCUUUACUCAUGCCAUAUUUGACGAAUUUAAUUUUAUCUUCUCGACUAUCAGAAACCAUUCCUAAAGAUUUACAAACUUCUAGUUUGCAACUAAGUUGUACACAAUUAUGACAUUUUGAGCUAAGUCGUUUAGCUCUCCUUUUCUUAGCAAACGUACUUUUACCAAAACCAGGCAUGUAAGAAAUAAAUGGAUCAGGAAACUCACCAGCUAAUUGGACCUUUACUUCAAUUAACCAAUGAAUUUCAGAAGGAAUUCUGUUGAUCAUUAACAAACACAAUCUUUUACAACGACCUUUGUAAAUUUUUUUGAGUGCAUUUUGAGGGAAAGAAGGAAAACGCUUAUGCAAUUUAUGUUGUAUUUCUUCCAUGCUUGAUUUUGAGAUUUCAGUUAUUGUGGGAAACUGAGGAUACCGACUUAAGAAGUUACGGAGUACCGUUAUCCGCCAUUUAUACGGGAAAAUAAAUCAAAACACACCAAAAUCAAAUCUGCAAAAUCAAAUCAAACGUGAAAGCUAACAACAAAAAAGAAACACAAUAUGUGCAAAGGAAAAUGAACUUACAUUCGUCCUCUCAUUGGGUUAACAUCAAGCUCCAAUUGAAAUUCAUAUAUGCCACGCUUUAUUUCUCUGAGUUGUAUUUCUAGAUCCUCAAUAUAGAACACAAAUUCCGGUGGUUACAGAUCCCAAAGUGGAUGUGAUUUACAGCUUUGUAUCAGGCCUCUUAAGUGAAAUUUCACACGCAUAAAUCUUUUAAGAUGUGUGAACAUGAAUGUUCUCAUUGAGGUGCUCAUGAUGUAUAAUGAUGAAGAAAACACAAUUAUUUGUCAACUUCAAUUCCUUUAACAGAUAUAACAUGACCCAAAACAAUUCCAGAAGUAACCAUGUAAUGGCAUUUUUCCCAAUUUAAAACAAGUUCUUUUUCAACACAUCUUUUUAAAACGUUUUCCAAAUUAUCAAGGCAAUCAUCAAAAGAAUUCCCAAACACUGUCAAAUCAUCCAUAAAGACCUCUAAACAAUGUUCAAUCAUAUCAGUGAAAAUACUUAGCAUGCAUCUUUGAAAUGUUGCAGGAGCAUUACAAAGUCCAAAUGGCAUUAUUUUAAAUGCAAAUGUUCCAAAGGGACAUGUAAAUGUGGUUUUUUCUUGGUCUUCAAGUGCUAUAGGAAUUUGAUAAUAACCUGAAUAUCCAUCUAAAAAGCAGUAAUAGGGAUGUCCAGCUAUUCUUUCUAAGAUUUGGUCAAGAAAUGGUAAAGGAAAAUUAUCUUUUCUAGUGGCUUCAUUUAAUUUCCUAUAAUCAAUGCACAUGCGCCAACUAGAUGUAAUUCGUGUUGGAAUUAAUUCACCUUUUUCAUUUUUAACUACAGUAAUUCCAAAUUUUUUAGGCACUACUUGUAUAUGACUUACCCACUUGCUAUUAGAGAUAGGGUAGAUAAUUCCCGCAUCAAGUAACUUAAGAACUUCUGUUUUUACUACUUCUUUCAUGUGUGGGUUUAAUCUUCUUUGAUGUUGUUGACAUGUUUUAGCAUUUUCUUCCAAAUUGAUUCUAUGUGUGCAAAUUAAAGGAUUAAUACCUUUAAUGUCAUUUAAAGUCCAUCUAAUUGCAUUUUUAUACUUUUUAAGAACAUAUAGUAACUUACCUUUUUGGUCGCUUGAUAAGGUCGAAGAAAUCACAACAGGAUAAGUUUGUUCUUCUCCAAGAUAAGCAUACUUCAAUCCCUCUGGCAAAGGUUUCAAUUCCAAUUUAGGUGUUUCUUGUUGUUCAGUCUUUUCAAUGAUUCCAAGCUAUUCAAAUUUUGGUUUCCCAUCAUCAGUUUGCAAAGUCUGACAAGAAUCAAACAACAAAUUUAUAUUAGAAGUAUCAUGUUCAAGUUGUUUAUUUGAUUCAAUUGAAUUAACCAAACAAAUAUCACUAAGUUCAGAAAAACUCAUUUUUUGAAUAUUCUCCUCUAUACAAGAUUCAAGUAAUUCAUUUUGUUCAUCAAUUUCAUCUUCAUUCUCAUUUUCCUCAUUAGGUUGCCUACACAUAUUGAAAACAUUCAAUUCCAUAGUCAUAUUUCCAAAUGACAAAUUCAUUAAACCAUUCAUACAAUUAAUCAAAGCAUUAGCAGUUGCUAAAAAUGGUCGACCCAAAAUUACAGGAAUUGAUUUAUAAUUAUUCACAACAGGUUCAGUUUCUAAAACAAUAAAAUUCACAGGAUAUAUGAAUUUAUCAACUUGUACUAAAACAUCUUCCAUUAUUCCUUUUGAUAUUUUAACUAAUCUAUCGGCAAGCAAAAGUGUAGUUGAAGUUGAUUUUAACUCACCAAGAUUAAUUUGAAGAAAAACUGAAUGUGGAAGCAAAUUAACACUAGCACCAAGGUCUAACAAAGCAUGCUCAAUUUUGUGAUCUCCAAUAAUACAAGAAAUAGUAGGACAACCAGGAUCUUUAUAUUUUAACUUAUUAUUAGUAGACAGAAUGGUACUUACCUGUUCAGCCAUAAUAACACUCUUUUUUACCUUCAAUUUCCUCUUAAUAGUGCAUAAGUCCUUUAAAAAUUUGGCAUAUGAAGGUACCUGCUUGAUUGCAUCUAACAGAGGAAUGUUAGCUUUCACUUGCUUAAAGAUUUCAUAAAUUUCAGAAGAGUGGUUUAAUUUCCUUAGUUUAUUCAAUGCAUGCGGAAAUGGUGGUUCAGAUGGAACAAUAGUUAUUUCUUCACUAGGUGUAAGUUUAUCUAGUUCUUCCUUGCCCUUUGAAUUUUCAUUUUCACAAGGUUCAGGAAUAGGCCGAUCAAUAACCUUACUACUACGAAGAGUUAUAACUGACUUAACAUGGUCUAUGGGUGCAUUUUGAAUCUUAGGAUUUAGUUGUGGUUGAGCUGAAAAUUUUCCUUUUUCUUGAAUUGUGAGUGCAGAAGCAAUUUUAGCAAGAGUAUCUUUCAAAUCAGAAAAAGUUUGUGCAUUUUGAUUGUUAAUAGUAUCUUGCUUCCUAAUGAAUGAAUGCAUUGUAUCUUCCAAAUUUUUCCAUGGUGGUGGAACAUAUGGUAUAUAAGGAUGAGUAUUUUGAAAAUUUUGUGGAGGUGGUGCUUGUGAAGAUUGUGCAUUAUUAUUAUUCCUCCAACUGAAAUUUGGAUGAUGUGGCAUUGACUGAUGAGGUGUCACGAUCCUGUUGGACUAAAAUUCUUAUGUACUGUUGAUCGAUGACGUGGCAGCAUAUCAAUGGACUAAAAAUCUCGCGUACGGUACAUGCAUUACACAAGAUUAUUUUCAAUCAAACCGCGUCACUGUUCAAGCCGGGUCAAACCGUGUUACUGUUCAAACAGCGUGGUCAAACCGCGUACUGUUGAUUGAUGACGUGGCGCAAUCCUGAGCGUCCGAAAUAUUUUUGAUCCGAUGGCCAUGAUUUACUCAAUGUAUCUAUAAAAAGGGGGCUCUCCCCCCCUAAUUUGAUAUCUCUGGAUCCAUUUUUGGGCUCCAUUUUUUGUAAUUCCUUCUCCAUCUUGUAUUUUCUACGUAUUUUAAUAAAUUCUCAUUUUUCCCCUAGUUCAAUUAUGAGUAACUAAUUUUCUUUCAAGCUUGGGUUGAAGGUGAAGUCUCAACAUGUGUCAUGGGCUUUAUUUGGUAAAUUUAUUUUCUUUUCCUCUCUAAAUUUUGUGGAUGAUUUGACUUUUCGUCGAAAAAUAAUAAUAAUCUUGUCUAGAUACCGCCCUAGUUACACCGGCUCCCUAGUACAAAGUUAUUAUUAUUUGGCACGAUAAGCCCUUAGCACCAUAUUGAUUAGAGUAUGGUUCAUGAGGUGUGGAUACCCCUCUCAUGAUUUAAUUGACAUUAAUAAGGAACAUUUAACCCAUGGUGCAUGUUGAUACGGAUCUAGAUACCCAAGUACGUCAUUUCAAUAGAUUUCUCUUCAAUUAAUUCUCGUCAUUUCAAUUCCAAUUUUAGGAUAAUCUAAGUCACUUUCACCAUAAAUCCAACCACCCUCAUACAAAAUUAAUUCUACAUAUAAUUAAAAUCCACCUCCUUGUGAGAUCGACACUCGUCACCAUUAAUAUAUUCUACAAUAAAUUCGUGCACUUGCGAGUUCAAUAAAAUUUGCACAACAUGUAUGUAUUACAAACUUCCUCGAAAUCUCUUAGAUGCAAAUAUGGAUUUUCAUAUUCUAAUCCAUAAAAUGUUGGUAAAAGUUGGAUAAUACCUGGUUUGAAGUUAAAUCGAGAUGCUUCUAGAGGAAAUACUAUACACGAUGGUGCUCCGGUUCUUGUUGGAUUCAUGUAGUCUCUCAAAGUUCUCGGUUGAUUAUGUUGAGAUUGGUUGUCUCCUUGAUCAAUUGGAGGAUUAAGUUGGCCUAAAUUGUUUUCGUCUUGGAUCUCGUCCAUGAUUAGUGGUGGUGAUUGAGAUCUACGAAUUAACCUGCCACUUUAAGUUCGAGACCAAUGUCUCAUACAAUAAUUAUAUCACAAAGAUAACAAACAAAUUAGUAACACAAAAACUAAAUGAAAAUUGCAAAAAGAAAAAAAAUGAAAAAUGAAAAAUGUAAAUAAUAUAAGUGUACAAAAGAAAAUUAAUAACUUAAAAUUAAAUAACAAUUUUGGUGGUUGAACCCACCAAUUAAAUUAACAAAAAAAAUAAAGCAUAAAAUAAAUGCGAAAUAAAAAAAUUGGUGGUUGAACCCACCAAUUAAAAUAAAACAAAGCAAAAAAAAAGUGAAAUAAUAAAAUAACUUAAAAUUAAAUAACAACUUUGGUGGUUGAACCCACCAAUAAAAAAAAUAAAAAUAAAAAUAAUGCAAAAUAAAAAAAACUGAAAAUUAAAUACUAAAAUAAAAAAAAUUAGUAGUUAGUUUGUUAAAAGUUAGUAAUUAGUUAGUUAAGUGUUAGUAGUUAGUUUUCUUGGUCCAAAUUAAGUCCAAAUAAGUCCAAGUCUAAUUAUUGUGAGAAAUUUCGUCUAGGAAUCUUAUUGAAAAUUAUUUAUAAUUUUAUGGCCACACUGUAAUUUUUAGAAGUUUAGAAUUGAGCCAAGUGGGAUAAAAGUGAAGAUUCGGAAAGAUGUUAGGGUCGGAACGUAAUUAUGAGAAGAAUGAGUAAGAAACGAGAAUUAUUGGGGUGAAACUAGAAUUAUGAAAGAUGUGGGGGUAGAAGAGAAUUUAAGAAAAAGAAAAGGGGGCCAAUGAAAAUUUACACAAAAAGAAAAAAAAAUAAAAGGAAAAAUAAAACAAAAUAAAUACCUCUCCCCGACAACGGCGCCAAAAACUUGACACGACUUAAAAGUGUUUGAUUUACUCUCAAGUAUAAGAGUGCCCAGUUAUAAUAUAUCUCGGUGAGUCCGAGGUCGAUCCACAGAAAAAAGAUUUAAUUUGUUUAGUUUAUUUUAUCUAAAAUUUAAAAAUAAAACUUAAAUAUAAACAACUUAAUUCAAAUAAAACUAUGAAAUUAAAUUAGUUAGGGUUGUGAAUUCACUCUUAGUAGUAAAUAAAACUUAAUAAAUUCUUUUUGUCGUUUUUUUAGAUUUAUUGCCCAAAAGAUUAAUUAUAUAAAUUAUUAUUAUUUUUCCUUUAAUUUUAUGAUAGAUUAAGUAUUCAUUGUGCCAAACUUUAAUUUGCCAACAAUAAGUCAAAAUACCAUUUUACCAUACCUUAUAUUAAGAUAAAAAGAAUUUAUUGUGUCAAACUCCCUUGUUUGUCUACAAUAAAUCAAAAUUUCAUAAUAUAAAAUAUGUAUAAAAUUAAAUAGAAAAUAAUUUAAUUUAUAAAAUUAAAAUAAAACUUGAUUAAAUCAUAUUUAUUUCCUAAGAGUUUCACCUUCCACUAACUAUUAAUAUUUAGCUAAACAUUUUUUUUAAUAAAGGGAAUUACUAAAAUUGAAAAACACAUAAUUAAAAAUGGAAUUUGAAAAUUGAAAUAAAACUAAUUUUUUUGAUUGAAAAUAAAUUAUAAAGAGAGAUGAGAAGAAUAAUUUGGGGGGAAAGAAGAGAAGAGAAGGUAUAGAGAGGUGUGUUCAUCCCCCUCUAUUUAUACUAAUACAUGGUAAAUCCAUACCACACAAAUAAAAAAAUCUAAUUACAUCUUAACUUUACAUUUGUCUCACUAAUAAUCCCACUAAUAAAACAUAAACCUAACUUAUCAACUCAAACAUAUCCAACACAUUCCACUAACAAUUACCAUACCUAAUAUGAUAAAAACUUAUAAUUUUACAAUUACCACAUUUACCGUGGUAAAAAUGUAAAAAAUUAGAACAAAAGUCUUGGAUCCUCCUCGAUAAUGACUUAAUUUCUCGGACUUCCGAAAUCCAAAUUUGACAUCCAUGCAUUUGUUCGGAGCCUCAAAUUGCAUGAAAUUAUUAUUAUUUUUUUUUUGUUUUGACCACGAGGUAUCCUAGGGAGGGCCCCAACUGUGGGAGGCACCUUUAAGCCCGUACCACAACCCAGACUAGAAGUCCCCGCUCGAACCGAGAGGCACAUGUUCUCCCAACAAAGGCGACUUCCCUACGACUCGAAUUGGGGAGCAAACCCAGUCAAACCACUUAAGGGGACUCCAUUGCCAGUGGAGCCAACACUUUGUUGGUCAUGAAAUUAUUAUUUUUACCUAAUAAACACACAAAAAUACACAAAAUCAAAUAUUUAGAAAAAUAAUUAUAAAUUCACAAUAUGUUACACAAUUACAAAUAUAAAUUACAUUAAUAAAACAAAAUAACAUUUUUAUCCCUUAAUAAACUUACAAUUUUUAACACUAAUCACCGAUCCUAGCACUGCCGAACCAUGCCUUAUCGUUCGAGGUACAACGAAUGCUUCCGAUUUUGCUAUUGGGGGUGUGUUGAUGCAAGCUAAACAUUCCAUAGCAUUUGAGAGCCGAAAGCUCAAUGAUACGAAGGGCGGUAUACGGUGCAAGAGAAGGAGAUGACCGCAGUAGUGCAUUGUUUGCACACAUGGAGGCACUACUUGCUUGGGUCCAAGUUCGUGGUGAAGACGGACAAUGUGGCCACUAGUUACUUUUAAAGCCAAAAGAAACUGAGUCCGAAAGCUUUCAAGAUGACAAGACAUCUUGGCUGAAUUCAACUAUGUGUUGGAGUACAAGUCGGGAAGGGCCAAUUUAGUAACACACGCCUUAAGUCAGAAAGCAAAGCUUUCUGCCAUAAGCCGGAUACUAGGGAAGCUUCUUACGCUCAUAAAGGAGGGAACAUAGCAUGAUCCAUUGGCCAAACAACUGGUUUCUCUUGUGCAACAAGGGAAAUCGAAGAGAUUUUGAGUUGAGGAUGGCAUAUUGUACAUCAAGGGACGAUGCGUCUAUGUUCCGAAAUGGGAAAACUUGAGGCGGAACUUAAUCAAAGAGUGUCAUGAUACUAAGUGGGUUGGAAACUCGGGACAAAGGUAAACACAUACAUUGCUUGAGUCAGCAUACUAUUGGCCCCAAAUGCGGGAUAAGGUGGAGUAGUUCGUGCGGACAUGCCUAAUGUGCCAACAAGACAAAGCGAAACAACAAUGUCACACGAGAUUACUUGAGCCACUGCUCACUCCGGAUCGACUAUAGGAAAGUUUAUCGAUGGAUUUCAUCAUUUGUCUUUUGAAAUCCGAGGGGUUUGUGACCAUUACUGUGGUGGUGGAUCGUUUAUCCAAGUAUGCCACUUUUAUUCCCUCCCUGAAGGAGUGCACAACGGAGGACACAACCAACCUUUUUUUUAAGCAUGUGGUGAAGUAUUGGGGACUUCUGAAAUCCAUCAUUAGUGACCGUGAUAGCCAGUUUAUGGAGAGGUUUUGGACUGAAUUGUUCAAGCUUAUGGGGUCGGCACUACAUUUCUCUACGAACUUUCACCUGCAGACCAACGGGCAAAUGGAGAGAGUGAAUGCCUUGUUAGAACUGUACUUGCGGUAUUUCGUGAGCGCCAACCCGCAUGAUUGGGCAAAGUUGUUGGAUGUGGCCCAAUUUUACUACAACUUGCAGCAAAACGAGGCUACAUCGAUGAGCCCUUUCGAGGUGAUAAUGGGAUAACAGCCGCUAACGCCACACACACUUAUCACGAACUAUAUCGGGAGGUGUCCCGCGGCAUACAAGGUGGCUAAGUUGUAGCAUGAACAAGCGGACAUAGCACAGGUGCACCUCGACAAGGCAACCAAGCGGAUGAAGAAGUAGGUGGACAGUAAGCGUAGACACGUGGAGUUCAAUGUAAGGGACAUUGUGCUAGUAAAGAUCCUUCCGUCCCAACACAAGUCUACCCGUUCGCUGUAUAAGGGCUUUAUCCAAAAGUACAAGGGGCCAUUUCUCAUCAUCAAGAGGGUCGGCAAUGUGUCGUACAAGCUAGAGUUGCCCUCUUGGUUAAAACUUCAUCCGGUCUUCCAAGUGAGUUGUUUGAAGCCAUACCAUGAGGAUACUGAAAGAUCUUAAGUGAGGAGAAUCCAAGCGCCCUCCACUCGGCAACACGAGGGUAUAUGACAAAGAAGUGGAGAUCAUCUUAGCUAAUUGAGUGGUUCGAAAGAAGAGUUUUCCGCCAUGCCAAAAGUACUUCGUCAAGUGGAAUGGACUACCAGAGAGUGAAUCAAGUUGGGAGCCUGCAAACAAAUUUGUGGCAGUUUCAAGACAAGAUCAAGGACUUCCACAAUGAGUCGACAAUGAUGUCUCCAGAUUAAAUGGGGGAGAAUGUCAUGGCCUAAGCCUCCAAGUAGCAUGGCCUAACCCAUGGAUAAUUCUAAACUCAUGUAGUGUAUAGAUAUUUCUCAUGUACUUAUUAUAGGUAGGUGGUAAGUGGCAGUUGAGCAUUAACCCACUCUCUUGUACUCUAUAUAUAGGAAGGGUCUCAUUUGGCCAAUACACACAACACAUAACAAGCAACGCAAUACUAAGCAUUGUAAGCAUUUAUGUUAACAUGUAUGUGUCUAUAAUGUUAAUUUUGAUGAUAACAAAUAAGAUUAAAAAUGAUUAAUCUUUUAAAAGCUCAAAUUAUUUUUCAUACAUUUUUAACAAAUCAUUAUUUUGAUAAUAUAAGGGUUUUAUACUUAAAGGAAAAAUGAUUUUAUGAAAUUGAUUAUUUUUCAAGUUCAUGGUCUAAUUGAAAAAGUUUUAAAACUACGGAAAUAAACUUAUUUGUAAAGUUUUAUAAAGAUUUAGGCUAUAUUAUAAUUAUAAAACAGUUUAGGACAAAAAUGUAAUUUUAAAAAAUAGUUUCACUGUAGCAAACGGCUAAUCAAUAAUUUCCAGAAAGCAUAUUCUGCAAAGUAUUGUUAAAAUGAUAAUUCUGAAAAAUAACGGUAAACCGUUUACGGAAAACGGUGAACCAAUUUGUUUAGAUUGCUAAUCUUGAAUCGUUUAGCAAGAACGGUUGAGCCAAAAUUUUUUUUUUCAGGAUUUUGGAAUUAAAAGCGAUCUGAUAAUGCUAAACGGUUAACCGAUUAUUUGAAUUUCAUCCCAACGGUCAUUUGAACUACUCAAAAUGGUAAACCGAUAGUUGUUAACAGCGAUAUGAUUUCUAAUAGAAAGUCAAUAACGGUUAGUUUUCAGCUCCAACUAUAAAUAAGCUCAACCAAACUCAAACAAAGUGAGAUCGAAGAGCUAUCAUUGAGUUUAUUAUUGAGCAUAUAACCAUUAUUGAGCUUUAAACUUAUUUUUAUUUCUUUGAUUCACACAUUGAGCAUUCAUUUGUAAUCAAACACAUUGUGUGAGAGAAAAUUCAUUUGUAAUCAUUAUCCUGGAGAGGUUGUAAGUGUUGGAAUAUGUUAUGCAAAUUUUAUUCAACUCGCAAGUGCACAAAUCUAUUGUAGAAUAGAUUAAAGGUGACGAGUGUCGAUCCCACGAGGAGGUGGAUUUUAAUUGUAUGUAGAAUUAAUUUUCUAAAUGGGUGGAUGGAUUUGUGGUGAAAAUGAUUUGAAAUAUCUUAAAAUUUAAAUUGGAAUGACGGAAUUAAAUUAAAGUGAAAACUAUUAUAAUGGAAGCACUUAGGUAUCUGGAUCCGCAUAAACAUGCACCAUGGGCUAAAUAUUUCUUAUUAAUGCCAAUUAAAUCAUGAGGAGGGAUUCCACACCUCAUGAACCACACUCUAAUCAAUAUGGUGCUAAAGGUUUAUCGUGCCAAAUAAUAAUAAUCUUGUACUAAGGAGCCGGUGAAAUCAGGGCGGUAUCUAGACAAGAUUAUUAUUAUUUGUCGACGAAAAGUAAAAACAUCCAUAAAAAUUAGAGGGGAAGAGAAAGUAAAUUUACCAAUUAAAGUUCAUGGCACAUGUUGAGACUUCACCUUCAACCCAAGCUUGAAAGAAAAUUAGUUACUCAUAAUUGAAUUAGGGGUAAAAUGAGAAUUUAUUAAAAUACGUAGAAAAUACAAGAUAGAGAAUGAAUUACAGAAAAUGGAGCUAAAAAAUGAAUUCAGAGAUAUCAAAUUAGGGGGGGAAGCCCCCUUUUUAUAGAUACAUUGAGUAAAUCAUGGCCAUCGGAUUAAAAACAGUUUGGACGCUCAGGAUUGCGCCACGUCAUCAGUCAACAGUACGCGGUUUAAACAGUAACACGGUUUGACCACGUGGUUUGAACAGUGAACCGGCUUGAACAAUGACGCGGUUUGGUUGAAAAUAAUCUUGUGUAUAUGCAUGUACCGUACGCGCGAUUUUUGGUCCACUAACAUGCUGCCACGUCACCGAUCAACAGUGUAUAUAAAUUUUGUCUAAUAAAAUCACGACACCUCAUUAGUCAAUGCCACAACAUCAUCGGUCAAUGCCACGUCAUCGUUCCGUAUGUGUGAACAGUGUCAUGAACAGUAACAUAUAUAGUAUCGUACAUGUGAAUAGUGCUAUACAUGUAAACAAUGACAUUUUUCCUUUUAUGCUCCUCCUAAGGUUUUCGACUGUCCUGAGUUCAAAAGUGAUGUCUGUUUUGCCGUCUAAUUUCUCGUUCAUUGUGAAAUGACCAUGAUGCCCCUAAAAUACAUAAAAUACUUAAUUAAAAUAAAACACACGUAAUUAAAUCACAAGAAGCUUAAAUACAUAAAAGUAAGGGUGUUAGUAAGAUUUGAAAUGUAAAAUAAUGAUUUUCUCUUUUAUAAAUAUACAUUUUCUAACACUCAACACACCCCCCAACUAGCUUAUUGUUAGUCCCUAGCAAAUAAAGCGAAAACAAAAUUCAAACCCAAAAUAAUUUUUUUUAUAAACAAUCUUGUUUAUUCAAUCAGACUAAUGAUAGCAAUCAAAUAAAAGUAUAAGCAUUAUCUCCAGUCUAAAGAAACAUCACACCCACAUCAACCAUCCACAUGAAUCAGCCCAGUAAACUUUAUCAUAGCUGCUUUCAAGAAUGACAUGUCAAACCCCAAAAUCUCACUGGUAGUAGUGACACUCUCACAAAGAAAUUAAACCCAAAAAAUAGUCACUCCAAUGAAUGGUAACUGAGAGAAAAUAAUAAAGAAGUAAUAUCACACGCUCUUCCUAAGAUGAAAGAAAUACGCCCUCAACUUAGAAAUAAUACGAUCUCAAGUCAACCAAAAUGCUAGUCAACCCAAAUUAUUUAUUUAUUUAUUUAUUUUAUAUGUAUCACUACAUCUUUUUAGCCCAUAAAACUAGCUUCUACUUCAGACUAUAGAUUUCUAAAAUCAAGAAUGACUUUUAUUAGGACGUAAUAUAGGCUAGGGACAUGGCUGACAAAUGAAAGAAAAUAGAAAAAAUAAAAUAUAUGUUUGAGAAAAAAUAGAGAUAUUUUAGAAAUUACAAGAUGCAUUUUGGUUAUUUAUUAUUAUUUUUUUCUUUUUUUUUAAACAACAAUUUUUGUUGUUUUUUUUUUUUGUUUAGCAUAACUUCACUGAACAAAAUAAUUAUUUACUUUUUUCUCAAACAUAAAUAAGUGAUGGAACUUGUAAGAUAUCGGGUAAUACUCCACAUCGGAGUAGGUCAAGAUGAUAAGUUAACAAAGAAAUUUUUUUUUUUUUAAAGGCUCAAAAUGGUUAACUAUGAAUUUUUCACAAAAAGGAUGGCUAUAAAGGCUCAAACGGGUCAAAGAUGAUCUUUUCAUCGUCUUUUAGGGCUCUAAAUACUCUUCCAUAUCUACUAGUUAGAUGGGCCUCCAGAUGUCGCCACACACAUUUUUUUCUUUUUUUUUUUAAUUUUACAAUUUUUUUUAAGGGUUAACUCAAAAGAAAUCUAGAGAUCGUGUAUAAAAUAAUAAACUGCUAAAUUGUAUGACGAAUGGGUAAAAAGGGUUACUCUCCAAGAAAAAUGACUCACUUGGUACUUAUUAUGACAUGUUCAUUCCUUCAAGCAACUCAUAUUUGUCUCCGACAUCAACAUGUAGAGUAGCAAACAUGGCGUAAAAUCACUUAAGACCAAAGAUAAUACAAAUACUAAAAUUUGAAAUUCAUCAUGUCAUCCAAUAUUAAGAAGAUGUGUUUCUAGAUGCAUUACACUCCAUAUUCAGCCAUCUUCGACUCAAAAAUUUGAAAUUGUAUAUUUAUAAAGGAGAAAUUAAAAAGAAGAAGUUAAAAAAAUGAAUAUCAAAGCUUAAUAAAGAAAAAAAAUGGAAUUUUUUUUUUUUUUUUAACAAAGAAGAAGCGUUUCUAGAGUAACUACACUCCAUAUUCAGUCAUCUCCAUAUUCAGCCAUCUUCGACUCAGAUUCUCGAGACUAUAUCGUGCAUGCUCUUUCUGGAAUAAUGACCAUAACUGGAGAAUCGCUUCUUGCACAUAUCCACUGGGAUGUGUUUAAAGAGACAAAAUGAUAUCAUCCAAUGACUCCUUAUUCAACCCAUCCCUAAUGAAUUGAAUCUUAUCUUCCUUGUUAUCAGACACUAUUCCUAAAGAACAUGUUUUUUUAUCGCAACUCAUUCUGGCACACUUAUGACAAGCAACAUAAAUUUUUUGAGCUCUUCGUUUUCUUACAUAAUUUCCUUUACCACAACCAGGCAUGUAUGCAAUAAAUUUUGGAGGUAACUCACCUGCCAAUCGUACUUUAGCCUCGAUUAACCAACGGAUGUCAGCAGGUAUGUUAUUCCUCAUGAGCAAUCACAUGUGUUCGGACCGAGCUUUAUAGAUUGUAAGGAGGGCAUUCUGAGGAAGUGAAGGGAAUCGAUUGUGAAGCUUCGCUAGAAUCUCAUUUCUGUCCAUACUUUCGCCUCAGAAUAUCAGUUAUUAUGGGAAACUGAAGUUACCGACUUGAUUGUCACGGAGUACCGUUAUCCGCCACUUCACCGGGGUAACAAACUAAAGCACAAAAACAAAGAAAAAUAAACUAAAACACAUAAAGAAAAAUUACAAUCGUCUUCUUAUUAAAUUUACCUCAAGCUGCCAUUGGAUGUUGUAGACACCUCUCUCAAUGUCUCUGAGUUGGCUUUCUAAAUCCUCAACAUAGGAUACUAACUCUGGUGGUUGCAGAGCCCAAAUACGAUAUGUUUUACAAAAUCGAAUCUGCCUUUUGAGAUGAGAUUUUACACGUUGAAGUGGUCUAAGAAUGUCCAGGAGGAUCUGUUUAGCUAUGACACUCAUUAUUAACAAUGAUAAGAGAAAACUUAAUGGUUAAACAAACACACUUAUGCAAAAAUAAUUUUAAUUAGCAAAAGAAUAGUAAAAAUAAAGAAAAAAAAUCAAAUCACCGAAAAGAAAAAAAAACUCAAUUCAAAUCUAGUGGGUCACUCAAAUUUAUUUCGGUGUCCUCUCCAUGUGGUUGGUACUCUAGAUAUGGCUUUAAUCUUUGACCAUUAACUUUAAAAGUGACAUUGUUCUUUGGCUCCUUAAUUUCAAUUACCCCAUGUGGAAAAACAAUGUGAACAAUAAAGGUGCCAGACCAUCGAGAACGUAACUUACUUGGGAAUAUGUCUAAGCGAGAAUUGAAUAAAAGCACUUUCUGACCUGGAGUGAAAGAUUUUCUCAUAAUUUACUUGUCAUGAAAGACUUUCAUUCGCUGCUUGUAAAUCUUGGCAUUUUCGUAUGCAUCAUUGCAAAUUUCUUCAAGUUCUACCAGCUGUAAUCUUCUUUCUGAGCUAGCUUGCUGCAUGUCAAAGUUGAAUUUCUUGAUGGCCCAGUAUGCACGAUGCUCGAGUUCUACAGGUAGGUGGUAAGUUUUUCCAUACACUAGCUUGUAUGGUGACAUCCCAAUCAGGGUCUUGAAAGCCGUUCUAUAUGCCCAUAAUGCAUCAUCGAGUCUUAAUGACCAAUCUUUUAUGUCUGGUCUCACUGUCUUUUCUAAUAUGUGCUUUAUUUCUCGAUUGGAGAUUUCAACUUGGCCACUGGUUUGCGGAUGAUAUGAGGUCGCCACUUUGUGAGUGAUUGAAUAUUUCGUCAAAAGAGCCUUGAAUGCUUUGUUACAAAAGUGGGCACCACCAUCACUGAUUAUUACUCGAGGGAAUCCAAAGCGUGAAACAGUGUUGCUUUUCAAAAAUCCUAUCACCACCUUGUGAUCAUUAGUUCUAUAUGGAAUUGCUUAUACCCAUUUCGAUACGUAAUCAACAGCAACCAAUAUGUAUUGGUGACCAAAAGAAGAGGGAAAGGGUCCUAUGAAGUCGAUACCUCAUACAUCAAAAAUCUCGACCACUAAAAUUGGGUUUAGUGGCAUCAUAUUCCUUCGCGUAAUGCUCCUCAUUCGUUGACAUCUAUCACAUGAAAAACAGAAAAUGUAAGCAUCUCGAAAUAUAGUUAGCCAAUAAAAACCACAUUGUAAAACUUUUGUAUCUAUUUUCUUAGCACUAAAAUGGCCUCCACAAGCUUGUUCAUGGCAGAAUGAAAGGAUAUUAUGAAUUUCACUUUCUGGCACACAUCGUCUAAUAAUUUGAUCUGCACAAUACUUGAACAAAUAAGGGUCAUCCCAAAAGAAAUUCUUUAUUUCCGUAAAAAAAUUGGCUUUGUCUUGCUUGGUCCAAUGCUCUGGAAGUUGACUUGUAACAAGAUAAUUCACGAUGUCAGCAUACCAUGGUAAUACUUCCACACUCAUCAAUUGUUCAUCUGGAAAUGACUCAUUCAAUGUUAAUGGUUCUGUAAUUGUGUCAAAAUGGAGACGAGAAAGAUGGUCAGCCACAACAUUCUUUGUGCCUUUCUUAUCUUUAAAUUCUAAGUUGAACUCCUGCAAAAGUAACACCCAACGAAUUAGCCUAGCUUUUGCAUCUUUCUUUGUGAGAAGAUAUUUAAGAGCAGCAUGAUCUGUGAAUAUACUUAUUUUACAACCAAUGAGAUAAGAUCGAAAUUUCUCUAAUGCAAACACUACUGCUAGCAUUUCUUUUUCAGUAGUUAAAUAGUUCAACUGUGCAUCAUUCAAUGUCAUAAUAGCAUAGUAAAUAAUAUGGGGAAUUCGAUCAACUCUUUAUCCUAAAACUACUCCUACUGCAUAAUCAGAUGCAUCACACAUGAGCUCGAAUAGUAAGCUCUAAUUUGGGGGCUGAAUAAUGGGUGAUAAUGUCAACAAUUGCUUUAGUUUUUCAAAUGGCACAAGACAUAAAUCAUCAAAGAUAAAAAGUACAUCCUUAGCAAGUAAAUUGCAUAAUGGUCUAGAAACUUUGCUAAAAUCUUUAAUGAAAUGUCUAUAAAAACUAGCAUGCCCAAUGAAAGAUCUUACUUAUCUGACUGUUUUAGGUGGAGGAAGAUUGAAAAUGAGAUCCACAUUGGUUUUAUUAACCUCAAUACCUUUGCUCGAAAUGAUGUGACCGAGAACAAUACCUUGUUUUACCAUAAAAUGACAUUUCUCCUAAUUUAAGACUAAGUUCUUCUCGAUACAUCUCUGCACAACUAAUGUUAGAUGAUGUAAACAUUGAUCAAAUGAAUCACCAAAGACAGAAAAGUCAUCCAUAAAGAUUUCAAGAAAUCGUUCAACCAUAUCAGAAAAAAUGCUCAACAUGUAUCGCUGAAAUAUAGCAGGUGCAUUACAUAAUCCAAAUGACAUCCUCCUAUAUGCAAAAGAGCCAAAAAGGCAAGUGAAAGUAGUUUUCUCUUGAUCUUUUGCUGCUAUGGGAAUCUGAUUAUAUCCUGAGUAACCAUCUAGAAAACAAUAAAAUUCAUGGUCUGCUAAUCUAUCAAGCAUUUGAUCGAUAAAUGGUAAAGGAAAAUGAUCUUUACAUGUGACAGAAUUCAACUUUCUAUAAUCAAUGCAUACACGUUAUCCUGUAGUUACUCUAGUGGGUAUCAAUUCAUUAUUGGUAUUCGUAAUUACUGUGACUCCUGACUUUUUGGGGACAACUUGUACAGGACUGACCCAUGAACUAUCAGAAAUGGGAUAAAUGAUACAUGCAUCUAAUAGCUUAAGGACUUCAGUUCUAACAACUUCUUUCAUGUUAGGAUUUAACCGACGUUGCAUUUCCCUAGUAGGUUUAGUAUUUUCAUCAAGGUGAAUGUAAUGCAUGCAGUCUACUGGGUUUAUACAUUUUAUGUCUGCUAUGGUUCAUCCUAAUGCUCAUUUGUGCUCUUUUAAAACAUCCAACAACUUACCUUUUUGUUCGUCAUUUAGGGAUGAUGAGAUGAUUACUAGUAGAGUACUUUCUUCUCCAAAAAAUGCAUAUUCCAAUGUGUUGGGUAAUGGUUUGAGCUCAAGUUUCGGUGGUGAUUAUGAUGUUAGAUGAGUUUCUUCUCUAAUGUGCUAGUUGUUCAACUCUUGACUUCAAUUUAUUAGUGUCCAUGGAUGGUGUUGAGUCAAGUAGAACAUUGACCUCAUCGACCGAUCUGUCAAUAUCAAAAUCAAAACCAAAGUGAGUUAAACAUGUUUGUAAAGGAUCAUCACUAAGGUUUGAAAGAAAAGUAUUAUCAACAAUUUCUUCUAUUAAAUCCACGUCAGCAAUUUCAUCAUCUGCAUUGUGAGGUUGUUUGGCAAUGUUGAAGAUGUUUAGCUCCAUAGUCAUGUUGUCAAAGGACAACUGCAUAUUUCCAGUUCUGCAUUGAAUGUGAGCAUCGGCAGUUGCCAAGAAAGGUCGGGCGAGGAUAAUGAGGAUGUGCUUCCUUGAAUCCUGGAUUGGUUGAGUGUCAAUUACAAUGAAAUCAACAGGAAAAUAAAACUUGUCUACCUGGAUAAGUACGUCAUCCAUAAUACCACGAGGUAUUUUCGUAGACCGAUCUACAAGCUGUAACACCACUGGAGUUGGGUGUAAUUCUCCAAGUCCAAGUUUCACAAAUACUGAAUAAGGCAACAGAUUUACACUAGCUCCUAAAUCCAACAAAGCAUUCUCAAUUGUGUGGUUCCCUAUACUACAUGAGAUAGUGGGGGAGCCUGGGUCUUUGUAUUUUAGAGGAAUUUUGUGUUGGAGUAUAGAACUAAUGUUUUCUGUUAAAAACGUCUUCUUUUGAACGUGAAUGUUUCUCUUUUUAGUACAAAGGUCUUUAAGAAACUUGGCAUAAGAUGGAACUUGUUUUAUAGCAUCAAUUAAAGGGAUGUUAACACUUACUUGUUUGAAGAUUUCAAGAAUCUCAUCUGUGGAUUUUCCUUUCUUUCCUUUAGCUAACCGCUUUGGGAACAUAUUCUCGUGGGUUGGUUUCUUCUUUCUCUUCCGAUGGUGAGUCCUCAACAUUUACAAGUACAAUUUGAUUUUCUUUUGUCACCGGUAUCUGCACUUUGUUGUCGACUUUUUUUCCUUUUCGGAAGGUCAUGACUGCUUUGACCUCUCCAUGCUGUUGUGGUGAAUUGGUACUUACUUCAUGUACUCCUUUAGGAUUAGGCACUAGUUGACUUGGAAAUUUAUAUUUCUCAACAGUCAUUGCCAAGGUCUGAACUAAAGAAGCAAGUUGCCCCACAAUCUUGUCGAGGCUUGAAACUGAUUGGGCUUGUGAGUUGAAGCCUGCUCUCAUCUCAUUUCGUAGUCCAUCAAUGGUGCGGUUCUGUUGCUCAAUCGUAGAGUGAGUAAUAUUCUUGAAAUUCUAGAAUGCAUCCUCUCAUGGUCUGUGUUGAGAGUAGUUCAGGUUCUGAUUGUAUGGUCUAAAUGGUGGCUGAAAGGCUUGAGGAAUUUGAGGAAUUGGUUGCAUUGGUGGAGCUGGAGCUGUUGGUCCAUUCUGUUGGAAUCCUUGAGACCAUGAAAAAUUGGGAUGGUCUCUCCAUCCAGGGUUAUAUGUGUUGGAGUAUGGGUUGUAAUUUGAUGGUUUUCUCAUUACACCUAUGGCAUUGGCUUGAUUUGAGUAUGAGUCAUGGUCAUGUGGUUCUGUUGAUUUAGCAGUCGUUAAUGAUGUUAUUUGUCGAGAAAGAUCUUCAAUUAUCGCUUUGACUUCUUUAAUUUCUGAACUUGACUCGCCAAUGUAAACCUCAUUUACUCCUUUAAUUCUUUUAGUGUUCCUGAGCGAUCGACUCCGUUGUUGGGAAUUCUAUGCUUGUCGCUGGAAGAAUUCCCAAAUCUCUGAUGCACUUUUUGACAUUAGUUCUCCUCCACUUGUUGUCAUUUGCCAUUAUUGCACAUGUGGCAAUAAUCCCUCCAAAAAAGUAUUGGCAUUGAUGUCAUUUCUCAUACCCGUGAUGUGGACACUUCAAGAGAAGCCCAUUGAAUCGCUCCUAUGUUUCGAAAAACUGCUCGUCUUCUUUCUAGGUAAGCUCUGAAAUUUCCCUGCGAAUAGCAUUGGUUUUAUGCACUAGGAAAUAUUUAUUCAAAAAUUUUGUUACCAUUUGUUCCCAUGAUGUAAUGCUAUUAGCAGGCAAUAUAUUGAGUCAUGAACGAACUCUAUCCUUUAAAGAAAAUAGGAAUAGUCUAAGUUUAACAUCAUCAUCUGAAAAAUUCUCAUAUUUAAAUGUUUGACAAACAGCAUGAAAAUCACUCAAAUGAUUAUAUGGGUCCUCAUUUUCUAGGCCAUAGAAUGUUGGGAGACAAUUUAGCACACUAGAUUUUAGUUCAAAACUUCUAGCAGCUACAUUUGGGUAUCUUAUGCAUGAUGUGCUCAAAUUAGUUAAAGGACUGAAGUAGUCCUUAAAUUGCCUCUCCUGUGGUGGUUGUUGUUGUUGCAAAUCCAUUUCACUUUUAUCUUUAAUUACAACGUGUUUGUAUGUGCGAAGUGUUUUUUCAAGUUUAAGGUCUAUAGGUUCAAGAUUAGAUAAUAAUGAUUUUCGAUCAUGCAUGCAAAGAACACAAAAAAUGGGAAAAAAACAAAUAAAAAUAAAGAAGAAUGACUAACCUUAUCACAUUGUUACAACAUUUCUAUAAAACACACUAAAACAAAAACGUGAAAUAAAUUAACUAAAAAUAAAUUAAUAAGAUAAACAAAAAAAAAUAACUUGAAAAUUAAAUUACAGAAUUUUAAAGAAGAGAGAAAAAAAAUUCUUAGCUCAAAAUGUAAAUUCACUCUUUUUUUCUUUCUUUUUUUAAAAUUAAAAAAAAAGUACAAGAAAAAUAACUAAAAGAAUUUUUUUUACAAAAAUUAAUUCUACAAAUUAAAAUAACUUACCUCCCCGGCAACGGCGCCAAAAAUUUGUUGUGCAAAUUUUAUUGAAUCCACAAGUGCACGAAUCUAUUGUAGAAUAGAUUAAUGGUGACAAGUGUCAAUCCCACGAUGAUGUGGAUUUUAAUUGUGUGUAGAAUUAAUUUUCUAAAUGGGUGGAUGGAUUUGUGGUGAAAAUGAUUUGGAAUAUCUUAAAAUUUAAAUUGGAAUGGCGGAAUUAAAUUAAAGUGGAAACUAUUAUAAUGGAAGCACUUGGGUAUCUAGAUCCGCAUCAACAUGCACCAUGGGCUAAAUAUUUCUUAUUAAUGCCAAUUAAAUCAUGAGGCGGGAUUCCACACCACAUGAACCACACUCUAAUCAAUAUGGUGCUAAGGGCUUAUCGUGCAAAAUAAUAAUAAUUUUGUACUAAGAAGCCGGUGAAACCAGGGCGUUAUCUAGACAAGAUUAUUACUAUUUGUUGACGAAAAGUCAAAACAUCCACAAAAAUUAGAGGGGAAGAGAAAGUAAAUUUACCAAUUAAAGUCCAUGGCACAUGUUGAAACUUCACAUUCAAUCCAAGUUUGAAAGAAAAUUAGCUACUCAUAAUUGAACUAGUGGUAAAAUAGAAAUUUAUUAAAAUACGUAGAAAAUACAAGAUAGAGAAGAAAUUAUAGAAAAUUGAGCUCAAAAAUGAAUUCAGAGAUAUCAAAUUAGGUGGGGAGGCCCCUUUUUUAUAGAUACAUUGUGUAAAUCAUGGCCAUCGGAUUAAAAACAGUUUGGACGCUCAGGAUUACGCCACGUCAUCAGUCAACAGUACGCGGUUUGACCACGCAGUUUGAACAGUCAACCGGCUUGAAUAGUGACGCGGUUUGGUUGAAAAUAAUAAUGUGUAUAUGUAUGUACCAUACGCUCGAUUUUUUGUCCACUAACAUGCUGCCGCGUCACCGAUCAACAGUGUAUAUAAAUUUUGUCCAGUAGAAUCGUGACACCUCAUCAGUCAAUGCCACAACAUCAUCAGUCAAUGCCACAGCAUCAUCAGUCAAUGCCACGUCAUCGUUCCGUAUGUGUGAACAGUGUCAUGAACAAUAUCGUACAUGUGAAUAGUAUCGUACAUGUGAACAGUGAUAUUUUUUCUUUUAUACUCCUCCUAAGGUUUUCGACUGUCUUGAGUUCAAAAGUGAUGUCUGUUUUGCCGUCUGAUUUCUCGUUCAUUGUGAAAUGACCAUGAUGCCCCUAAAAUACAUAAAAUACUUAAUUAAAAUAAAACACACGUAAUUAAAUCACAAGAAGCUUAAAUACAUAAAAGUAAGGGUGUUAGUAAGACUUGAAAUGUAAAAUGACGAUUUUCUCUUUUAUAAAUAUACAUUUUCUAACACUCAACAGAAUACACUUGGGUUAAGAGAUUGAGGAUAAUCUCUUGUUGUAAAGGUCCAUUAAUACCUUGGAAGUCAAUUGUAAGCAUUUGAAGUCUUGGGAGGCUUGGAUAGUGAAAUCCUCAAGCUCGGUUUACUUAGAGGUGUAGACAUAGGUGAGGUUGGUCGAACCACGGAAAAUCUCAUUGUUUAAAUCUCUCUUCUCUUAUCUUUUUAUAUUUUGAUUGGUUUAUUUAUUAUUGCUUCAAAUUUAUUUAAGAUUUGCAUCUAGUUUCGAUUUAGUAUUGAAUAAUUUUUAGAAUCUCAAUUCACCACCCUCUUGAGUUGCAUAACUAAUAUGAGAUAGUAAAUAAAGUGUGAGAUAUAGCAUACAUGAGAGGAUAGAGUGGAUAGAAGGGCAAAUGGAAGCCCUGAUGGUGGUAUUGCACGAAUUGAGAGAGAGGCGAAGAAGGUUUAGCGGAAGAAAUUCAGAGGAAAACCAAAACUUCCUAGAGCCCAACAAUAGAAUGCUCUGUGACAAGUAAGAGCCAAGGGUAGGAAACCAAACAUGUGGCGAGCAUAACCUAAUGAAUAUUGUAGGAGGAAUAAAUAUUGAAGAAAUAAAGCUACAGUAACACUUACAAGAUAUUGAGCAGCACUUACAAAACAUCGAGCAGAAGCAUGAAUAGGUUACUGCAUAUUAAAAAGUUGUACUCAAUUGAUUAACAUAUAUGAUAUAAAAUAUUAAAGAGUUGUACUCAAUUGAAUAUGAUUUAUGUUAUGAUAAUUUAUCACCUUAUUUAUAUUCUUUGAGAUGUUUAUUAUUUGUUUAACAUUAUAAUUUGUAAGGGUAUAAAUGUAAAAAUAUUAGUUUUCAGAUUUUUUUUAAGUUAAACAAGCAAACAACUUAAUAUUUAUUUUUAGCUAUUCAGACAAAAAAACAAACAUGUCAUUUAGAUUUAAACAUUCAGCUCUAUUUAGAAUUCAGAUUAAUUCAGGUCUAUUUAGAUUUCAGAUAAAAAAUAAACGUCACCUAAAUCAUACAUUUUCUUCUUUUAAUACUGAAAUUUUUUGUUUUAAUUUCUAUUGAUAUAAUUUAUUUAAUUUAUAAUAAAUAUGAAUAAAAAUAUAUUUAAAAAUAAAAAUCAUAGUAUAAAAUUAUAUUAUUAAGGAGGUUAUUGGCUAUUAUGAAAACUAUAGAGAUAAAUGAUAUAUAUUGAUUUUAGAUAAAUUGACAGCUUAAAGGUAAGGCUGCAUUUGUGGAAUAUAUGAAACUUGACAAGCUGCAUUUGUGGAAUAUAUGAACCUUAUCGAGGUGCAUUUGUAGAACAUAUGAACCUUAUCCGACUGCAUUUAUAGAAUAUAUGAAUCUUAUCAUGCUGUAUUUGUGGAAUUAUGAACCUUGUGGGGCUGCAUUUUUAGAAUAUAUAAACCUUAUCGGGCUACAUUUGUGGAAUAAAUGAAUCUUAUCGAGUUGCAUUUGUGGAAUAUAUUAACCUUUAUCUCCCACUACAAUAUUUUAUACCCCUCGUUAUAUCGCACCAGCCCCUGCUAAUCAUUAUUAUACUAAUACAUAUUUUAUUUUUAUAUGAAAUAACUUAAAAGUAAAUAAUUUUUAAGUGCACCCACAUAAUAAUUUCUAUUAAUAUAUAAUUUAGUUAAGUUAAUUUCUUAAACCCUUAUUUCUUUUUAGCUUUUUAAAUUAUUAUCUAUUCUCAAAUAUUAGAAGAAAUUAAUUUACAAUGCACAAUAGAUUAUGAUGAAGAAGUAUCAAAUCUUUUCUUAUAGGCAUAAUAAUAAUGGAUAAAACCUUUAAAAAGAAUGUGAAAGAUUAUAGUGAUUGUGGAAAAAAAAAAUCCUUUUAGAAUAGAUUUUAUAAAUUUUACAUGCAGAAUGUUUAAAAAAAAGAUAAAAAAUUAUAAUAAAGUUAAAUUCAACAUUACGUGGAGUAUGCUGAGAAAUAAAGAUUAGUUUGAAAUUAUUAAUUGGGAUUAACCGAAAAGUAGAGGCUAGUCACUUGUGAGAUAUAAUAAGAGAGUAAAAUAUUACCGCUGAUUAAAUACAAAAGAUAGCAUAUAUUUUUUUUUUUUGUCUGAGCCACGAGGUGGUCCUGAGUGGACCCUAACUGUGGGAGGUAACUUUAAGCCCAUAGCACAACCCAGACUAAUCCAUGCUCGCACCGGAUUGGCCCGUAAGGGAUAAAGUGCUGGCUAAAGUGGUGACUUCAUAUGAGAGCGGGGCUUGAACCCCUAACCUCUCUUAAAGAGUGCGGGUGCCGAACCAUUCACACCAACUAACUUUGGUUAAAAGAUAGCAUAUUUGAAUGUACAGAGAGUCUUCAAUCGGGAAUUACGGAUCUAGUUUCUGUAAUACUGAAAACCAAUGGGAUUCUCCCAUCACCUGCAAGAAAUCGUAGCCUUUUAUGCUUUCAUUUUUUCAAUUAUCUGCGUCUAUGUGGCUACAAGCAUUGCCAAAAGGAACAAGUAAGGAGGCAGGAAGCCACCAGAAGCGGCAGGGGCAUGGCCUUGUGUCGGUCACCUUCAUCUCCUGGCAGGAUCAAACCAGUUAAUACACCGAACACUUGGGAAAAUGGCUGAUAAGUACGGAAGAGCCUUCUUGAUCCACCUUGGAAUUCAUCGAGCACUUGUGAUUAGCAGCUGGGAAGUGGCAAAAGAAUGUUUCACCACCAAUGACAAGCUCUUCUCCACACGUCCAAAAUCCUUAGCUGCGAAGCUCAUGGGUUAUGACCAUGCCAUUAUUGGCUUUGCUCCUUACGGAUCGUAUUGGCGAGAAGUUAGAAAACUUUCUGUUGAUGCCGAAAUCCGAACCAGUUGGUUAGUGACUCAAUUUCGGAUCCCUGCAUCAGCAUUAAAUUUGUUUGGUGGGAAGCUAUUGGUUGAUCUCCAAGAAUAUUCUCUGACUAUGAGCAGAACAUUCAUGAGCAUAUAUUCUUCAAGCUGACGACCAAGAAGUACCUGAAAUUACAGAGAAUAGUCAGAGGCGCCGGAAGUUUUUCCGGCGUAAAUCCUCCGACGCUCAAGUCAGUUAUGAGAUUUACAGGAAAAACCAAAUAUGCCAUUUCUCAUAUGGCUUAAUAAACAUUGCCUUAAAACCAAAAGCUUUUUGAAUAAUUUACAGAAAAGUAAAGUCGAGUCUCCAUAAAGAAUUUCUCAGUGAGAUCAAGAGAAAAAGAGCCCCACUUUCCCCCUUUGGCGUGGUUUUCUCGGGGUUUUUAUAAACAUCCCACACCCACGACCUUAGAUCGUGACAAUAACCAUUAAUUGAUCAAAUUCGUGCUCUGAUUUUUCGGAGGAGCUUUGUAGUGGUUUAUUUUAACUGAGUCUUGAUUCCUGGUCAUCAUCUGGUCGAGGUGAUCUGCUCAAGCUCAUACCACCUGAAGCUUGUCGAGGUGAUAUGCUCAAGCUCAUAGCACAUGGUCGAGGUGAUCUGCUCAAGCUCAUAGCACCUGGUCGAGGUGAUAUGCUCAAGCACAUAGCACCUGGUCGAGGUGAUCUGCUCAAGCACAUAGCACAUGGUCGAGGUGAUCUGCUCAAGCUCAUAGCACCUGGUCGAGGUGAUCUGCUCAAGCUCAUAGCACCUGGUCGAGGUGAUCUGCUCAAGCACAUAGCACAUGGUCGAGGUGAUCUGCUCAAGCUCAUAGCACCUGGUCGAGGUGAUCUCCUCAAGCUCAUACCACCUGGUCGAGGUGGUCUCCUCAAGCUCAUACCACCUGGUCGAGGUGAUCUGCUCAAGCUCAUAUCACCUGGUCAAGGUGAUCUGCUCAACCUCAUAGUACAUGGUCGAGGUGGUCUGCUCAACCAUUUGCUCACUUUCAUUUGGAGGAGAUCAUGGUAGCUCUAUUUAAUUCCUCAAACACUUUCCACGGCCCAACUUUUCUCAAAUCAUCGGCUUGAGUUGCUCAAGCAUGUUCGUGACACUGAAGUCAAAGUCUUUAUCAAAGAGUUACACGAACAAUGUGCCAAAAAUGAGGGCCAUGUUGCUGUUGAGAUGAAGGAAAGGUUUAAGGACUUGGCAAUGAAUAUUAUAGUCAGAAUGGUUGCUGGUAAAAGAUAUUAUGGUUGGGACACCAAUGCGGAUGAUCAAGAAUCAAAACGAUUUCAGAAGGCCUUGCGUGAUUUCUUAUAUCUAUUAGGGCUAUUCUUGGCCUCAGAUAACAUUCCAUGUCUUGGUUGGUUAGAUACUGUAAAGGGAUACACAGGUCAAAUGAAGAGAACAGCAAAGGAGUUGGAUGAUGUGUUUGGUAGGCUGGUGCACGAGCAUCGUCAUAAGAGGCUCAACGGGUGCAUCAACAAGGAUGAGGAAGACUUCAUUGAUGUCAUGCUGUCUGUCAUGGAUGAUGGCAAGACUUCUCCUGAGGAUGCCGAUACUGUCAUUAAGGCCACUUGCUUGGUAAGUCCCUGGGAAUUCUGCAACAUAGAUUUACACAGAUAAGAGAGAAAUUAACUACUGUCUACGAUGAAGAUGCAAAAGCAUUAGAAAAGUAGAACUUAAUUUGGCUAGGGUCUGAUCUCUCCUGAAAACUGUUGAGAAUAUGACGAUUGAUUUUUUGUUUCUUUUGGCAAAAGCUAAAUUAAAAUAAAAGGUGAUAUAGGGAAGCCAAUGAAAUCCAUCUGCUCAUGAUCUAUCAGUAACUACAGAUUACUGGAAUGAUAACUAUUUAAGUGACCAUCUCUCUGUGUACUCUUGUUCAUUUUGCAGAGCGUACUAUCAGGUGGCAAUGAUACCACAGUGACCACAUUUACAUGGGCACUAUCUCUUCUAUUGAACAACCGGCAUGUACUAAAAAAGGCACAAGAUGAGCUUGACAUCCAUGUUGGAAAGAACCGGCAAGUUGAGGAAUCUGAUGUUAAGAACCUGAUAUACUUACAAGCAAUUGUCAAAGAAACAUUAAGAUUAUGCCCUCCGCUACCACUUUCAGCUCCACGUGAGGCCAUGGAGGAUUGCACCAUUGAUGGCUACCACAUCCCAGCAGGCACACGGCUUAUAGUUAACUUGUGGAAGAUGCAUCGUGACCCCAGCAUUUGGGCAAACCCAUCAGAAUUUAUACCUGAUAGAUUCCUAAAUGAAAAUGCCAAGUUGGAUGUUAAUGGUCAGGAUUUUGAAUUUUUACCAUUUGGCUCUGGUAGAAGGAAGUGUCCAGGGAUCUCAUUCGCUCUUCAGGUUCAGCACUUGACAUUGGCACGCC
This 34254-nucleotide long non-coding RNA is filed under the name Citrus maxima (pomelo). RNAcentral's name for it is "long non-coding RNA (CMAX_LNC003318)". Lineage: Eukaryota; Viridiplantae; Streptophyta; Magnoliopsida; Sapindales; Rutaceae. The record is from RNAcentral.